RNAcentral lists this non-coding RNA (30 nucleotides) under Rattus norvegicus (Norway rat). Lineage: Eukaryota; Metazoa; Chordata; Mammalia; Rodentia; Muridae. The record is from RNAcentral.
GACUUCCAGAUUUCUUUAAAGUUCUUCAGA